AUGUCAUCUGUUGAGUCUCUAGGUCUGUUUCUGUGGAUAGUAGGUUCCCCUCAAUCUGUUAGACAAACAGAAAACAUAUUUGUUAGGUCAUUGGAGACAAUUGUAAGGAAGUUUGAUAAGGUUUUGGCCUGUCUGAUCAAGCUAGCAAAAGACAACAUCAAGCCAACAGAUCAUCAAUUCAGAACUGUGCAUUCAAAAUUAAGAUCUAGAAAGUAUGCACCAUUUAUGGACAAUUGCAUUGGUGCAAUAGAUGGGACACACAUACAAGUUGUGGUACCACUUGCCACUGCUGCCCAGCAUAGGAAUAGACAUAAGGAGAAGAGUCAGAAUGUGAUGUGUGUGUGUGACUUCGAUAUGAGAUUCACAUUUGUCCUAGCUGGUUGGCUAGGAUCAGUGCAUGGCAUGAGGGUCUUCAAUGAUGCCCGAUCCAGAUUUGGUGACAAGUUUCCAAAACCACCACCUAAUAAGUUCUAUCUUGUGGACUCAGGGUACCCAAGUAGACCAGGCUAUCUUGCACCAUACAAGGGUUUAACCUAUCAUUUCCAGGAGUACCGUGAUGGCACAAUGCCAAGAGGAAAAAGGAACACUUCAAUUUCACCCAUUCUUCACUUAGAAAUGUGA
RNAcentral lists this ribosomal RNA (621 nucleotides) under Triticum aestivum (bread wheat). RNAcentral describes it as "partial small subunit ribosomal RNA". Lineage: Eukaryota; Viridiplantae; Streptophyta; Magnoliopsida; Poales; Poaceae. The record is from RNAcentral.